GGUCACUAAAUGCAGCUUAGUUUUCAUUUGAUCCUCAUUGGUCCACAGAGACAAACAAUAUCAGACACUAAAUGACAGACAUGAUCAGAUAAACAGGAUCAA
This is a long non-coding RNA of Fundulus heteroclitus (mummichog), 102 nucleotides long. RefSeq lists it as uncharacterized. The record is from RefSeq and is a predicted model, not a curated record. NCBI's taxonomy places the organism in Eukaryota, Metazoa, Chordata, Actinopteri, Cyprinodontiformes, Fundulidae. The transcript is spliced from 3 exons.